RNAcentral lists this ribosomal RNA (435 nucleotides) under uncultured bacterium. RNAcentral describes it as "bacterial SSU rRNA". It matches the Rfam family "Bacterial small subunit ribosomal RNA", at positions 355 to 786 of the family's 1533-position model. The record is from RNAcentral.
UGAGGAAUAUUGGACAAUGGUCGCUAGACUGAACCAGCCAAGUAGCGUGCGGGAUGAAGGCCCUCCGGGUCGUAAACCGCCUUUAGACGGGGAUAAAAGGGCGUACGUGUACGCCGUAUUGCAUGUACCGUCAGAAAAAGGACCGGCUAAUUCCGUGCCAGCAGCCGCGGUAAUACGGAAGGUCCGGGCGUUAUCCGGAUUUAUUGGGUUUAAAGGGAGCGUAGGCGGACUUUCAAGUCAGUGGUAAAAUCGUGUGGCUCAACCAUACCUCGCCAUUGAAACUGGAAGUCUGGAGUGCACACAGGGGUGCCGGAAUUCAUGGUGUAGCGGUGAAAUGCUUAGAUAUCAUGAAGAACUCCGAUCGCGAAGGCAAGUGCCCGGGGUGCAACUGACGCUGAGGCUCGAAGGUGCGGGUAUCGAACAGGAUUAGAUACC